UACGGAAGGCAGCAGUGGGGAAUAUUGCACAAUGGGCGCAAGCCUGAUGCAGCCAUGCCGCGUGUAUGAAGAAGGCCUUCGGGUUGUAAAGUACUUUCAGUCGUGAGGAAGGUGUUAAGGUUAAUAACCUUAGCAAUUGACGUUAGCGACAGAAGAAGCACCGGCUAACUCCGUGCCAGCAGCCGCGGUAAUACGGAGGGUGCGAGCGUUAAUCGGAAUUACUGGGCGUAAAGGGCACGCAGGCGGUUAAUUAAGUUGGAUGUGAAAUCCCCGGGCUUAACCUGGGAAUGGCAUUCAAGACUGGUUAGCUAGAGUCUUGUAGAGGGGGUAGAAUUCCAUGUGUAGCGGUGAAAUGCGUAGAGAUGUGGAGGAAUACCGGUGGCGAAGGCGGCCCCUGGACAAGACUGACGCUCAUGUGCGAAAGCGUGGGGAGCAAACGAGGAUUAGAUACCCGGU
This 456-nucleotide ribosomal RNA is filed under the name uncultured bacterium. Its description in RNAcentral is "bacterial SSU rRNA". It matches the Rfam family "Bacterial small subunit ribosomal RNA", at positions 340 to 791 of the family's 1533-position model. The record is from RNAcentral.